RNAcentral lists this transfer RNA (111 nucleotides) under Actinomycetota bacterium. RNAcentral's name for it is "tRNA-Glu". Lineage: Bacteria; Bacillati; Actinomycetota. The record is from RNAcentral.
GGCGUCCCUAGCUGGGAAAACGAAGGAUCAGGAAAGACGUCGAGAAGCGACGAAAACUGGCUGGAUCGCCCUUUCAAGGCGGUAGCACGGGUUCGAAUCCCGUUGGGGCCA